AUCCCGUACUUAUACACUUCGUCGCGCGCACUGGUCGCCGCCUCGUACAGCUUCCGAAAUCGUGUUUCCGCACUGACCAUCCUCAACGAUACCGGUCGACGUGACGUCCGUUACUCGCUUUCGUUUUGCUUCCGUCGGGUUUUCCAUUCCGUUUCGCACGUUUUAUUUAAAUUUUUUCAGAUUAUUUUAUUAUAAUUUUAUAUAUAUAUAUAUAUAUUACAGUUUUUCGUACGCUAUAUUAUUUCGAUUGUUUUGUUUCGAUUAUUUUUCCCCAUCCGAUUGCUAUUCAGCUGUUCGCACCGCGGUCGCCGAUCGUUUUUGACGACGGAACAACCGCAGUGCGCACGGUCCCGUGCCCGUCGGGAGACGAUUUCUCUCCGGAACCGUUCGGCCACGCUGCCGCCCGACGCCACCACCGCCGUCGCCGUCGCCGACCGACCACACAUCAGAUAUGUGGCCAAAAUUAGCGUUUAUCGGACUGAUAAUUGUUCGAUUGAUGGUUUCUGGCAAUCCAGAUGCCAAGCGGCUGUACGAUGAUCUGCUGUCCAGCUACAACAAACUCGUGCGACCCGUUGUGAACACCAGCGACGUUCUUCGGGUAUCAAUAAAGCUGAAACUGUCGCAGCUCAUCGACGUGAACUUGAAAAAUCAGAUUAUGACCACCAAUCUAUGGGUUGAACAGGCUUGGAAAGAUUAUAAGCUUCAAUGGGACCCAAAAGAGUACGGUGGCGUGCAAAUGCUCCACGUGCCUUCCGACCACAUUUGGCGGCCGGACAUUGUGCUCUACAACAACGCCGACGGCAAUUUCGACGUGACGCUGGCCACCAAGGCGACCAUAUACCACGUAGGGCUAGUAGAAUGGAAACCGCCGGCCAUAUUCAAAUCGUCGUGCGAGAUCGACGUGGAAUUUUUCCCGUUCGACGAACAGACGUGUGUGUUGAAAUUCGGUAGCUGGACGUACGACGGAUUCAAGGUAGACCUGAGACACAUGGACGAGAAGGUCGGCUCGAACAUCGUUGACGUCGGAGUGGACCUCUCAGAGUUUUACAUGUCAGUGGAAUGGGACAUACUGGAAGUUCCGGCGGUCAGGAAUGAGAAAAUCUACCCAUGCUGUGAUGAACCUUAUUUGGACAUCACUUUCAACAUAACAAUGAGAAGGAAAACGCUCUUUUACACGGUAAACAUCAUCAUACCGUGUAUGGGAAUUUCAUUCCUCACUGUGUUAACGUUCUAUCUGCCAUCGGACAGCGGCGAAAAAGUGACGUUGUCCAUAUCAAUUCUUAUUAGUCUUCACGUGUUCUUCUUGCUAGUUGUCGAGAUUAUACCACCAACAUCAUUAGUAGUCCCACUUUUGGGAAAAUAUUUGAUAUUCGCUAUGAUACUGGUCUCUAUCAGCAUAUGUGUUACGGUUGUAGUGCUGAACGUUCAUUUCCGAUCACCGCAAACACACAAAAUGGCGCCUUGGGUGAAAAGAGUAUUCAUUCAUAUCCUGCCACGACUUUUGGUGAUGCGGAGACCACAGUAUCAAUUUGAACCAAACAAAUUCAACGCUGGUUCGAUAAUGCUGAAGGGCCGAGACAUACAUCCGUGUUUCUUCCAGGCAGGCUGCGGGUACGACAGCACAGAAUCCGGCAAAGAUAAAGGUCGCCGGCAAACCGAUGACAGCAGCGUGUCGAAAAGCACUAGAGAAACAUCCAAAGAAGACUUAUCCAGCGACGGCGAAGGAGGCAGCUGCCGAAUACACGGGCCGGCGCAGAGCCUGAUCUCCGACGAGAUAUCCGUCACGGAGAUGACGACGGACUGCAGCAAGAGUUCGAUACUGCUGAGGAGCCCGGGGUUCCUGCACUCGUCGUGUCCGCCGGCCAUGCACAAGUCGUGUUUCUGCAUCCGGUUCAUAGCGGAACACACGAAAAUAACGGACGACGCGACUAAAGUGAAAGAAGAUUGGAAGUACGUCGCUAUGGUCUUAGACAGACUUUUCCUGUGGAUAUUCACCUUGGCCGUGUUCGCAGGCACCGCGGGUAUUAUCCUACAAGCUCCCACGCUCUACGACGAUCGGAUACCGAUUGACAAAAAGUUCAGCGAAUAUCAGACAUGAUUGUGCCAGGGCUCGGAUUCUAUAACGUUUGCUGGUUGUUAUGGAAUACUGAUAAAUAUAGCAGAGUACACGUCAUACAGUCUGUCACAACGUGAAGCCACCUAAACACCCAACGACGUCAUUGUUGUUGCAGUUGCUGUUGCAGCGGUUGUAUAAUAAUAAUAAUAUUAAUAAUAAUUAUAAUAAUUUGAUGAUGUUAACCAAAAUAUUGUUUUGUAUGGUUAAAUUGUAUUGUGUAUAUUAAGUUUUGUUAAACUAUUAUAGCUACUGAUGAUAACGAUUUCAAACGAUGCCCAGUAACAGAGUAAAUCACAAAACAACAACGAUAAUAAUUAUAAUAAUAAUAUCAAUAAUGAUUUUCCGACGUUGGUCGUAUAUGUAUAUUAUAUAAGUUAUCAUUUACGCGUGUCCAUCGUCGCCCUGUACAACAGUUAUUAAACAUGUUAUAAAACAUAAUGCGCAUAAAGUCAACAAAUAUAAUACGUGCGCCGCGAAACGAUGGGAAUUACUAUCGAUGGCGUUGUAGAUGAUACAUUAUGUCUAUGUAUACAGGGUGUUUCGCUAACUCUUACCAUUUCUAAAGGGAUAAUGGAAAAGUUACGUGAAAUAAAAUUACUCAAUUAGUGGAUUCUCGCGGGACGAGUACGCCGUACGAGAAAUGCAUGCGUGUUUUCAAAUUUUAAUAGAAUAAACCUACCGCGCACGUAAAACAUUACAAUUUCGUUGAUAACGGACGCGUUGUACGUAACCCACUAGCGAUACAUUGUUUCGUACGCGGUUUUUGUUUUUAUUAUUAUUAUAAUUAUUAUAAUUCUAACUGUUGUUAUAAUAUUAUUUAAUAUUAUAGUUAUAUAUAUAUACACUGUUGUCAUUUUGUACGUACAUGGUAUGUAAAUGCAAGAGGAAUUAUCAUUUUUUUUUUUUAUUUUUUUUUUAAAUAGAUCAUGCGUAGAGUGCCUUAAAAAUAAUAAUAUUUUCUGUAGCCCAUCUCGUGUUAGUAAUAAAUGCAUAGUUUAUUUAUUCUAAACGUGUAUAAUGCAUCGUUUUAUUUUUUCACGUUAGAUUCGAAAUCGUUUGCGUUUUGUGUACACGAUGUUUAUUACCGGAGGAGAAGGGGGAGGGAUAAAUAACCGAACGUUAUAGUGUACAGAAAAACUGCCAAAAUACAUUAUAAAACGGACUGUACACGUGACGUGACCCUCUACAUUGUUGCGUUCGUUGAUGCGACACUAUCAACAAUAGUUAUAAUUUUGUUAAAUAGAUAAUUUGUGUAUGCCUAAUAAUAUGUCGAUCGUUUGUCCGUGUCGUUAAGUAUAAAAAUAAUAAAAAAUGUAACUAAUGUUUACGAA
Molecule: RNA transcript, 3447 nt
Organism: Sipha flava (yellow sugarcane aphid)
Lineage: Eukaryota; Metazoa; Arthropoda; Insecta; Hemiptera; Aphididae
Gene: nAChRalpha4
Gene name: acetylcholine receptor subunit alpha-like
Exons: 14
Source: RefSeq, a predicted model, not a curated record